AGUGAACGCUGGCGGUAGGCCUAACACAUGCAAGUCGAACGGCAGCACAGUAAGAGCUUGCUCUUACGGGUGGCGAGUGGCGGACGGGUGAGGAAUACAUCGGAAUCUACUUUUUCAUGGGGGAUAACGUAGGGAAACUUACGCUAAUACCGCAUACGACCUACGGGUGAAAGCAGGGGAUCUUCGGACCUUGCGCGAUUGAAUGAGCCGAUGUCGGAUUAGCUAGUUGGCGGGGUAAAGGCCCACCAAGGCGACGAUCCGUAGCUGGUCUGAGAGGAUGAUCAGCCACACUGGAACUGAGACACGGUCCAGACUCCUACGGGAGGCAGCAGUGGGGAAUAUUGGACAAUGGGCGCAAGCCUGAUCCAGCCAUACCGCGUGGGUGAAGAAGGCCUUCGGGUUGUAAAGCCCUUUUGUUGGGAAAGAAAAGCAGCAGGUUAAUACCCCGCUGUUCUGACGGUACCCAAAGAAUAAGCACCGGCUAACCUCGUG
RNAcentral lists this ribosomal RNA (492 nucleotides) under uncultured bacterium. RNAcentral describes it as "partial 16S ribosomal RNA". It matches the Rfam family "Bacterial small subunit ribosomal RNA", at positions 29 to 507 of the family's 1533-position model. The record is from RNAcentral.